CAAUAUAAACAGUAGAUUCACUGCAGAGAUAUGAUAGAUAAUU
RNAcentral lists this non-coding RNA (43 nucleotides) under Trypanosoma brucei brucei. The record is from RNAcentral. Lineage: Eukaryota; Euglenozoa; Kinetoplastea; Trypanosomatida; Trypanosomatidae.